RNAcentral lists this long non-coding RNA (3496 nucleotides) under Homo sapiens (human). RNAcentral describes it as "HSALNT0355318". The record is from RNAcentral. Lineage: Eukaryota; Metazoa; Chordata; Mammalia; Primates; Hominidae.
GCCUUGGUGGGGCAGGGGUGGCCUGGCCCUGCCCCUUUGGAGCUACUCGCCCGGGGCAGGUCGCUCUGCGCCUCUGGGAGCCCCAGUUCCCCGCUGGCAAUUUGGAGCCCUGGGGGCCCUGGCCCACCCCACUCCCAGGGCCCCUCCACUCUCAGUUUUUCCCAAGGAAAGCCUGGGUGGUCUGAGGCCUGGCCUUCCCCCUUUGAGGGUCCGAAGAGUCCCUGAUCAUGGCCAGGGCCGGGCUCACUACAGAUGCCACUUCCACGUUCCCUGAGUGCCUCCUGUGUAUGCAUGGCCCUGGGCUCCUGGCUCCUUCUCCCUUGGGCGUGGAGGAGGUGGCAGGUCCACCCUCUCCCAGGUGAGGCCCCAGUGUUGAGUCUCACACCCCGGGUCACAGCACGGUGGGACUCCGGCUUGGACUCUCAACUUCACCCCCAUCUCCAGGGGGCUGGCGAGUGGAUAAGUACACCCCUCCCCAGGCGGGAGGGACACAGAGCUAGGGCUCCAGCUUCCAACCAGAGGUUCAGAGGGGGCCUACAGAGGAAGCUGACCCUCACAGCGCCACAGCCCUGGCCAAGGUGCACAGCGUCCCAUUUUCCGUGUCCCCUGGGAGGCCCAGUCCCCCUCCUGGAAGAUGCCUGGCCCUAAGUUGCUGUCUUCUUAUUCAAAUGGACUUCUGUUGGCUCAUACGGUCCCAUCAGCUGCAGUGGAUGUUUUGCAUAAUGACGAUUUGGAACUCAACCUAUUCUACUAGAAUGUCCAAUUUAAUGCCAAUUAAGUCUGGAAUUGAAUGAUGUUCUCUGGGAAUCCUGCACAGAUGAGCCUCAGUGGCGCUGGCUGCAGAGACCGUGAUCACUCACUUUGGCUUCUUGGAACCGCCCUAGCACAGGGCUGUGGGCUCCCUCACCUGGCCUGGCCCUCGGGCUACCCCUGCCACUGCCUUGAUGGGAGAAGCCGCUGGAUGGGCAGCCUCACGUGUGCUGGAAGAAGUCCUGGCCUGGAGCCCACAGGCCUGUCCCACACCUGUUCCAGGAAGCCUGCCUGGACUGCCCUCCAUCCGGAGUCUCCGACGUCUCCGUGCCUGUUCUGGUGAGGUCGUUCCAUGCUGGAACCUCUCUGGCUUUUGCAGAGAAGCUCUGAGGUCCUCUGGCUGACUUGCGUUCAUCCUGAAAACAUUAGGCUCCGGGUGGCCCAGUCUGUGUGCCGGAGUGUGGCGUGGAGGCUGGAGGCUCGCCCUGCUGUCAGCUGACCUGGGCUGGCGCCUGGGGGGCCCCUGGAACUGGUGACUUGGGGGGCUUGUAGGGGUGGCUAUCUCCCCGCUUUGGGUUGAUGUGAGUCACACACACGGUGCACGGGUGUGUGAGCCAGCCCCAGUCAACGAAGCUGUUAGGACUUUUGUAUUUAUUUUGGACAAUCACCAGGGGGGCCAGGGUGACUGCAGCAGAGUGGGCUGGGAGGGCAGAGAGCAGAAAGGGCCGGGUGAGGACUUGCCUCUUCCUGUAAGAUAGUGUGUCCUGAGCGUGGCCACCAGGCCUCCCUCACUGUCCCUAGGGUGAAGUCUAGCUCCUCUGCUGACCCCUGUGGAGUCCCAUGACUCCUCCAAAAGGCUCGAUUCCCACAGCCUCCCCUGGCUGGAGCAGCCCAAGCCGUGCAGGCUUGCGGAUCCCACGGGAUGUAGGGGCUCUGGGGUUGCCCCGGAAUCUUCCGAGAGUAGCCUCCUGGGUGCUCCAUCGUGGUGGGCUUCCCCAGAGAGUGCCUCACGUUUGGGGGCGAGGAGGGCACUUGCUGAAUGAAGGCCAAAAUGGGGCAGAAAAAUGCCCGUGCUGUGCAGAGCUGGCAUCUAAGGCCAUGCUGGCCCAUGAGCAUCUUCCUGUGUCCUGACAGCGGAACCCGGAGGCAGAGGGCUUGCCUGCCACUCUCACUCUGAGACUCUUCGAGAAUGAGCUUGGUGACCCUCCAGGCCCUGGCCCCGAUGGAACCUCCCUGGAGGGGGCUAUUGGCUGAUGUACUUGCCCCCGCUGAGACCUGGGCCUGCUGAAGAUGAGCCCCCAGCCCCAGGGUGGAUGAGAGGCCACACGGAGCCUGGCACCGCUGGGAAGGGCUGCUGUAGCCACUUCACCCACCCAGCGCUCCCGAGUUGCCUUCUCUGGGGUGUUCUAGAGACUGCUGGCCAGAGGACUUCAUGGAGCCUUGAGCUCAGCCCUCCCAGCCUCCAGAUGAGAGCCAGGAACGAUGCUAAAGCUUCCUGAUUCGUGACCCUGGCUAAGCAAAUGUAACGGCCCCAUUGACUCGCAGCCAUUGGAGAACUGAGCUUAAGAAUCUUUUGGCGGUCUGGAAACUUGGAAAAAGAAAGGGGCAACGUAUCCCACUUGAGCCAAGGCCAUACUUUCCCGGCUGCUCAGAAGACAUUUCUCUGUCUCCCCUGCUCUUCCCCAUCUUGAAUGUGGAUGUCCUGGCUGGGAACACAGCAGCCAACUCGUGAGUGUGGGUAACAAGCAGGGACAAAAGACCACCAGAGUCACAGAGACGCAGCUGCGGUGACACCGAGGCUGUUGGCCGGAGGUCAUCUCAGCUCCUAGCUGGGUAUUAGCUGGAGGCUGUCCUCAGUCCAGUGCCGUGGGCCUCCCCAGCUUGGCUGCGUGUGGCAGCAAAUCCAGCCAGGCGGUCCUCAGCAAGAGAGACAUCACAAUCUCACAGGUGAUCCACUCGGCUCUCUUCUCUUCUGCGUCCUGCUCUAUGGCCUGGGAAGCUGAUCUCCAAGGAUCGCAUUCCUAGGGCUCUCUGGCCCAUGGGCUUCCCGUUGGGUUUGCCCAAUGGACAGCCAUGGCAGAAGAUCAAAGGGAAGAUGGCAGGAAGCUGUCCCCCACUCCUCGCCUGGCUGAGUUCUGGCGAUGGCUGCCAUCCAGGGUCCUGAGUCCCACCAGUUUUUACCCCUUGAAGUGAGAAAGAACACGUCUACAACCCUCCCUCAUUCCAGAGGCUGUGUUUUUGCCCUUUGGUCAUGCAGAUGGGGCUAAAGCGAAGUUACAACAUUGGAAAAUGUCUUCUUAACGUCACACUGAUCUCCUUAAGGCAACGAGCCCCACAUGCUCUCUGAGGCCUGUGCACGUGUUCUGAGGACCCAGUUAUGUGCUGCGUGAUUCCAGAGGUGAACAGACCCUCACAGAUCACCUCUCCUCACCCUCUCAUGAGAGGGAAACUGAGGCUCAGGGGGAGAAUUGGCAAAGGUUACACUUGGUGGUGGGUUUGGAAUCUGCCCUGUGGACGCCCGACUAACCAUUUCUGCCAGAUGCGCGUGGGAAGUAAAAUGGGAAGAGGUGCUCCAUAGGAGGAGGGGACGUGGGUACAGUCACGUGGACCCGUGAGCCGGUCACCUGCGAGGCACCAGGGCCUACAGGAAAGGUGCCCGCUGUCGGCUUCCGCAGGGAAUUUCGUUAUCUUUGUGAGGUAGGGUGGAACUUGCAUCCUGAACAUUAAAGUUUACAUGCCAAGGAGG